UUAAGCGACUAAGCGUACACGGUGGAUGCCCUGGCAGUCAGAGGCGAUGAAGGACGUGCUAAUCUGCGAAAAGCGUCGGUAAGGUGAUAUGAACCGUUAUAGCCGGCGAUGUCCGAAUGGGGAAACCCAGUGCAAUUCGUUGCACUAUCGUUAACUGAAUACAUAGGUUAACGAGGCGAACCGGGGGAACUGAAACAUCUAAGUACCCCGAGGAAAAGAAAUCAACCGAGAUUCCCCCAGUAGCGGCGAGCGAACGGGGAGCAGCCCAGAGUCUGAAUCAGCUUGUGUGUUAGUGGAACGGUCUGGAAAGUCCGACGGUACAGGGUGAUAGUCCCGUACACCAAAAUGCACAGGCUGUGAACUCGAAGAGUAGGGCGGGACACGUGGUAUCCUGUCUGAAUAUGGGGGGACCAUCCUCCAAGGCUAAAUACUCCUGACUGACCGAUAGUGAACCAGUACCGUGAGGGAAAGGCGAAAAGAACCCCGGCGAGGGGAGUGAAAAAGAACCUGAAACCGUGUACGUACAAGCAGUGGGAGCACCUUCGGGUGUGACUGCGUACCUUUUGUAUAAUGGGUCAGCGACUUAUAUUCUGUAGCAAGGUUAACCGUAUAGGGGAGCCGCAGGGAAACCGAGUCUUAACUGGGCGUUAAGUUGCAGGGUAUAGACCCGAAACCCGGUGAUCUAGCCAUGGGCAGGUUGAAGGUUGGGUAACACUAACUGGAGGACCGAACCGACUAAUGUUGAAAAAUUAGCGGAUGACUUGUGGCUGGGGGUGAAAGGCCAAUCAAACCGGGAGAUAGCUGGUUCUCCCCGAAAGCUAUUUAGGUAGCGCCUCGUGAACUCAUCUUCGGGGGUAGAGCACUGUUUCGGCUAGGGGGUCAUCCCGACUUACCAACCCGAUGCAAACUACGAAUACCGAAGAAUGUUAUCACGGGAGACACACGGCGGGUGCUAACGUCCGUCGUGAAGAGGGAAACAACCCAGACCGCCAGCUAAGGUCCCAAAGUCAUGGUUAAGUGGGAAACGAUGUGGGAAGGCACAGACAGCCAGGAUGUUGGCUUAGAAGCAGCCAUCAUUUAAAGAAAGCGUAAUAGCUCACUGGUCGAGUCGGCCUGCGCGGAAGAUGUAACGGGGCUAAACCAUGCACCGAAGCUGCGGCAGCGACACUAUGUGUUGUUGGGUAGGGGAGCGUUCUGUAAGCCUGCGAAGGUGGCCUGUGAGGGCUGCUGGAGGUAUCAGAAGUGCGAAUGCUGACAUAAGUAACGAUAAAGCGGGUGAAAAGCCCGCUCGCCGGAAGACCAAGGGUUCCUGUCCAACGUUAAUCGGGGCAGGGUGAGUCGACCCCUAAGGCGAGGCCGAAAGGCGUAGUCGAUGGGAAACAGGUUAAUAUUCCUGUACUUGGUGUUACUGCGAAGGGGGGACGGAGAAGGCUAUGUUAGCCGGGCGACGGUUGUCCCGGUUUAAGCAUGUAGGCUGAUUAUCCAGGCAAAUCCGGAUAAUCAAGGCUGAGGUGUGAUGACGAGGCACUACGGUGCUGAAGUAACAAAUGCCCUGCUUCCAGGAAAAGCCUCUAAGCAUCAGGUAACAUCAAAUCGUACCCCAAACCGACACAGGUGGUCAGGUAGAGAAUACCAAGGCGCUUGAGAGAACUCGGGUGAAGGAACUAGGCAAAAUGGUGCCGUAACUUCGGGAGAAGGCACGCUGGUGUGUAGGUGAAGUCCCUGCGGAUGGAGCUGAGACCAGUCGAAGAUACCAGCUGGCUGCAACUGUUUAUUAAAAACACAGCACUGUGCAAACACGAAAGUGGACGUAUACGGUGUGACGCCUGCCCGGUGCCGGAAGGUUAAUUGAUGGGGUUAUCCGUAAGGAGAAGCUCUUGAUCGAAGCCCCGGUAAACGGCGGCCGUAACUAUAACGGUCCUAAGGUAGCGAAAUUCCUUGUCGGGUAAGUUCCGACCUGCACGAAUGGCGUAAUGAUGGCCAGGCUGUCUCCACCCGAGACUCAGUGAAAUUGAACUCGCUGUGAAGAUGCAGUGUACCCGCGGCAAGACGGAAAGACCCCGUGAACCUUUACUAUAGCUUGACACUGAACAUUGAGCCUUGAUGUGUAGGAUAGGUGGGAGGCUUUGAAGCGUGGACGCCAGUCUGCGUGGAGCCAACCUUGAAAUACCACCCUUUAAUGUUUGAUGUUCUAACGUGGGCCCCUGACCGGGGUUGCGGACAGUGUCUGGUGGGUAGUUUGACUGGGGCGGUCUCCUCCCAAAGCGUAACGGAGGAGCACGAAGGUUAGCUAAUCCUGGUCGGACAUCAGGAGGUUAGUGCAAUGGCAUAAGCUAGCUUGACUGCGAGCGUGACGGCGCGAGCAGGUGCGAAAGCAGGUCAUAGUGAUCCGGUGGUUCUGAAUGGAAGGGCCAUCGCUCAACGGAUAAAAGGUACUCCGGGGAUAACAGGCUGAUACCGCCCAAGAGUUCAUAUCGACGGCGGUGUUUGGCACCUCGAUGUCGGCUCAUCACAUCCUGGGGCUGAAGUAGGUCCCAAGGGUAUGGCUGUUCGCCAUUUAAAGUGGUACGCGAGCUGGGUUUAGAACGUCGUGAGACAGUUCGGUCCCUAUCUGCCGUGGGCGCUGGAGAAUUGAGGGGGGCUGCUCCUAGUACGAGAGGACCGGAGUGGACGCAUCACUGGUGUUCGGGUUGUCAUGCCAAUGGCACUGCCCGGUAGCUAAAUGCGGAAGAGAUAAGUGCUGAAAGCAUCUAAGCACGAAACUUGCCCCGAGAUGAGUUCUCCCUGAGACUUUAAGUCUCCUGAAGGAACGUUAAAGACGAUGACGUUGAUAGGCCGGGUGUGUAAGCGCAGCGAUGCGUUGAGCUAACCGGUACUAAUGAACCGUGAGGCUUAACCUU
RNAcentral lists this ribosomal RNA (2900 nucleotides) under Klebsiella quasipneumoniae subsp. quasipneumoniae. RNAcentral's name for it is "bacterial LSU rRNA". It matches the Rfam family "Bacterial large subunit ribosomal RNA". Lineage: Bacteria; Pseudomonadati; Pseudomonadota; Gammaproteobacteria; Enterobacterales; Enterobacteriaceae. The record is from RNAcentral.